GUGUGACUGCGUACCUUUUGUAUAAUGGGUCAGCGACUUAUAUUCUGUAGCAAGGUUAACCGAAUAGGGGAGCCGGAGGGAAACCGAGUCUUAACCGGGCGUUAAGUUGCAGGGUAUAGACCCGAAACCCGGUGAUCUAGCCAUGGGCAGGUUGAAGGUUGGGUAACACUAACUGGAGGACCGAACCGACUAAUGUUGAAAAAUUAGCGGAUGACCUGUGGCUGGGGGUGAAAGGCCAAUCAAACCGGGAGAUAGCUGGUUCUCCCCGAAAGCUAUUUAGGUAGCGCCUCGUGAAUUCAUCUCCGGGGGUAGAGCACUGUUUCGGCUAGGGGGCCAUCCCGGCUUACCAACCCGAUGCAAACUGCGAAUACCGGAGAAUGUUAUCACGGGAGACACACGGCGGGUGCUAACGUCCGUCGUGAAGAGGGAAACAACCCAGACCGCCAGCUAAGGUCCCAAAGUCAUGGUUAAGUGGGAAACGAUGUGGGAAGGCCCAGACAGCCAGGAUGUUGGCUUAGAAGCAGCCAUCAUUUAAAGAAAGCGUAAUAGCUCACUGGUCGAGUCGGCCUGCGCGGAAGAUGUAACGGGGCUAAACCAUGCACCGAAGCUGCGGCAGCGACACUGUGUGUUGUUGGGUA
RNAcentral lists this ribosomal RNA (638 nucleotides) under Salmonella enterica subsp. enterica serovar Enteritidis. RNAcentral's name for it is "partial 23S ribosomal RNA". It matches the Rfam family "Bacterial large subunit ribosomal RNA", at positions 591 to 1230 of the family's 2925-position model. Lineage: Bacteria; Pseudomonadati; Pseudomonadota; Gammaproteobacteria; Enterobacterales; Enterobacteriaceae. The record is from RNAcentral.